UACGGGGGGGGCAAGCGUUGUUCGGAAUUACUGGGCGUAAAGGGCUCGUAGGCGGCCAACUAAGUCGGACGUGAAAUCCCCAGGCUCAACCUGGGAACUGCGUCCGAUACUGGAUGGCUUGAAUCCGGGAGAGGGAUGCAGAAUUCCUGGUGUAGCGGUGAAAUGCGCAGAUAUCAGGAAGAACACCCGUGGCGAAGGCGGCUCUCUGGGACGGUACUGACGCUGAGACGCGAAAGCGUGGGGAGCGAACAGG
This 253-nucleotide ribosomal RNA is filed under the name uncultured bacterium. RNAcentral describes it as "partial 16S ribosomal RNA". It matches the Rfam family "Bacterial small subunit ribosomal RNA", at positions 524 to 776 of the family's 1533-position model. The record is from RNAcentral.